Molecule: ribosomal RNA, 703 nt
Filed under: Paenibacillus polymyxa
Lineage: Bacteria; Bacillati; Bacillota; Bacilli; Caryophanales; Paenibacillaceae
Description: bacterial SSU rRNA
Rfam family: Bacterial small subunit ribosomal RNA
Source: RNAcentral
UAGAAGCUUGCUUCUAANUAACCUAGCGGCGGACGGGUGAGUAACACGUAGGCAACCUGCCCACAAGACAGGGAUAACUACCGGAAACGGUAGCUAAUACCCGAUACAUCCUUUUCCUGCAUGGGAGAAGGAGGAAAGGCGGAGCAAUCUGUCACUUGUGGAUGGGCCUGCGGCGCAUUAGCUAGUUGGUGGGGUAAAGGCCUACCAAGGCGACGAUGCGUAGCCGACCUGAGAGGGUGAUCGGCCACACUGGGACUGAGACACGGCCCAGACUCCUACGGGAGGCAGCAGUAGGGAAUCUUCCGCAAUGGGCGAAAGCCUGACGGAGCAACGCCGCGUGAGUGAUGAAGGUUUUCGGAUCGUAAAGCUCUGUUGCCAGGGAAGAACGUCUUGUAGAGUAACUGCUACAAGAGUGACGGUACCUGAGAAGAAAGCCCCGGCUAACUACGUGCCAGCAGCCGCGGUAAUACGUAGGGGGCAAGCGUUGUCCGGAAUUAUUGGGCGUAAAGCGCGCGCAGGCGGCUCUUUAAGUCUGGUGUUUAAUCCCGAGGCUCAACUUCGGGUCGCACUGGAAACUGGNGAGCUUGAGUGCAGAAGAGGAGAGUGGAAUUCCACGUGUAGCGGUGAAAUGCGUAGAGAUGUGGAGGAACACCAGUGGCGAAGGCGACUCUCUGGGCUGUAACUGACGCUGAGGCGCGAAAGC